RNAcentral lists this ribosomal RNA (799 nucleotides) under Chryseobacterium sp. CI50. Its description in RNAcentral is "bacterial SSU rRNA". It matches the Rfam family "Bacterial small subunit ribosomal RNA", at positions 44 to 848 of the family's 1533-position model. The record is from RNAcentral. Lineage: Bacteria; Pseudomonadati; Bacteroidota; Flavobacteriia; Flavobacteriales; Weeksellaceae.
CGGAGCUACCAUGCAGCCGAGCGGUAUAGAUCUUUCGGGAUCUAGAGAGCGGCGUACGGGUGCGGAACACGUGUGCAACCUGCCUUUAUCUGGGGGAUAGCCUUUCGAAAGGGAGAUUAAUACCCCAUAAUAUAUCAGAUGGCAUCAUUUGAUAUUGAAAACUCCGGUGGAUAGAGAUGGGCACGCGCAAGAUUAGAUAGUUGGUGAGGUAACGGCUCACCAAGUCUACGAUCUUUAGGGGGCCUGAGAGGGUGAUCCCCCACACUGGUACUGAGACACGGACCAGACUCCUACGGGAGGCAGCAGUGAGGAAUAUUGGACAAUGGGUGAGAGCCUGAUCCAGCCAUCCCGCGUGAAGGACGACGGCCCUAUGGGUUGUAAACUUCUUUUGUAUAGGGAUAAACCUACCCUCGUGAGGGUAGCUGAAGGUACUAUACGAAUAAGCACCGGCUAACUCCGUGCCAGCAGCCGCGGUAAUACGGAGGGUGCAAGCGUUAUCCGGAUUUAUUGGGUUUAAAGGGUCCGUAGGCGGAUGUGUAAGUCAGUGGUGAAAUCUCACAGCUUAACUGUGAAACUGCCAUUGAUACUGCAUGUCUUGAGUGUUGUUGAAGUAGCUGGAAUAAGUAGUUGUAGCGGUGAAAUGCAUAGAUAUUACUUAGAACACCAAUUGCGAAGGCAGGUUACUAAGCAACAACUGACGCUGAUGGACGAAAGCGUGGGGAGCGAACAGGAUUAGAUACCCUGGUAGUCCACGCCGUAAACGAUGCUAACUCGUUUUUGGGCUUUUGGGUUCAAGACU